UUGAGUUCUCCCUUCUCAUUAUCGUUGAACUUCUUACCUUCACCUCCCGCUUGCUCUUCCUGUCACCGGUAGCACACACCUGACCGGACUGGUGCUUUUCGGCAGCUGGAAGUGGGUCACCAUAAUUAGUUCUCUCUCAGCUGUCAAUUCGUGUUUCUCGGUCCAGAUUGAGCGUCUGUGCGUGUACCAGAAUUUCUGUCUUCUUCAACGUCGACCACGUGACGGACCUGAGCUGUUAUGGCUGCACCGAAGUUUGAGUCCAAGCUUAGGAGCAAUGAUUACUUGAUGACUUGACCAUUAGCGACUGCAAAGCAAAGAUGAAAAAGACACUAUAUUCAUUCUUUAAAAGAAAGAAUGUGGAAAUUUCACAACUUGAUGGGGGAUUAAGUUCUCUGCUGGAAAUUGAACAUCAACCUCCUAUUGAGGAGCUACUUCCCUAACAUCCUCCUUCAAAAAAUUCAAGAAUGCAGACUAAUGAAAAUUUUGAUAUCAACUCAUUACAACAUGAUCCAGGAUUGAGGAGACAAAUAUGGGAAUAUCCUAUUGAGAUGCGUGAUGAAGUUAGGAGAGCUUAUAUUAAAGCCGAUCCUUUUCAAUAUUUGUGUUCAAAUGAAUGCCCAUAUGCAUAUCAUGUAUAUUGUAUGGCAUAUCGUUUGCAAUUGGCAUUGGUUGCUGCAUUUAAAGAAGUUAUUCCUAUCGAUCAAUUUUUUUCUUCAUUGGGUACUACUGUUAAUAUUUUUGGUGCCUCUUGUAAGCACAAUAAUCAAUUAAAAAAUACUCAUGCUGAAAAUAUUGCCUAUUUACUUGAGAUUAAUGAGCUUGAAAGUGGAAGAGGGUUUAAUCAAAUUGGUUCUUUACAAAGGGCUAGGGACACUCGUUAGAGUUCUCAUUUGAAAUCUAUUUCAAGCUUGAUGAAAAUCUUUAGUGCUACAUGUGAAGUUUUGAUGAAUAUAAUUGAGGAUGGAACUACUGUUACUCAGCGUGCAGAUGCAGAUGUAGCUUAUGAGAUGCUAGCUUCCUUUAAGUUUGUUUUCAUCAUGCAUCUUAUGAAAGAAAUUUUAGAGAUUUCUAAUUUUCUUUGUCAAACUCUACAACUUCAAUAUUAAGAUAUUGUGAAUGCAAUACAUCUUGUUUCAUCUACUAAGCUUCUUAUUCAUAAAUUAAGAGAUGAUAGAUGGAAAGAGUUAGUUGUGAAGGUAAAAUAUUUUUGUGAAUUAGUCAAUAUUCCUGUUCCUGAUUUUAAUGCUCAUUAUAUUAGUAAAAGAGGAAGGCUCGCCAUCAACAAGAUGAAUUUACAAUCGGGCAUCAUUAUAAAGUUGACAUUUUCAAUGCAAUGAUAGACUCUUAAUUACAAGAAUUGAAUUAAAAAUUUAAUAAUGAUGUGGUGGAGUUGCUUAUUCUUAGCUCAGCUUUGGAUCCAAAGGGAAAUGUGAAUAUUGUUUAUAAUUGAGGAUAUUUGCAAGAUGGUAGAAAAGUUCUAUCUACAAGAUUUUUUGGCACAUGAAAUGCUACAAUUAAAGAUACAAUUUGAGCAUUUUGGCUAUGUCAUACAACUUCUUGAUUUUCAAACAUUGGUUACCAUUUCUGAUUUAUGUCAAUGGUUGGUGAAAACAUGAAAAUCAAAAAUUUAUCUUCUUGUAUAUGGAGUUGUGACUUUGAUUCUCACUCUUCCAGUUUCUACAGCUACAAUAGAGCAAUCUUUUUCAGCUAUGAGCACUAUUAAGACCAUGCUUCGCAACAAGAUGCAUGAGGGAUACCUUUCUGAUUCUUUGCUUUUGUAUAUUAAAAAAAGAAUUGUUAAAAAAUUUGAUAUAGAAUCUCUUGUAGAUGAUUUUAAUGAC
Long non-coding RNA from Prosopis cineraria, 1841 nucleotides. RefSeq lists it as uncharacterized. The transcript has 4 exons. NCBI's taxonomy places the organism in Eukaryota, Viridiplantae, Streptophyta, Magnoliopsida, Fabales, Fabaceae. The record is from RefSeq and is a predicted model, not a curated record.